CGGGGUAUAGCGCAGUUUGGCUAGCGCACCUGCUUCGGGAGCAGGGGGUCGGGGGUUCAAAUCCCUCUACUCCGACCA
RNAcentral lists this transfer RNA (78 nucleotides) under Clostridia bacterium. RNAcentral describes it as "tRNA-Pro". It matches the Rfam family "tRNA". Rfam says of the family: Transfer RNA (tRNA) molecules are approximately 80 nucleotides in length. Their secondary structure includes four short double-helical elements and three loops (D, anti-codon, and T loops). The record is from RNAcentral. Lineage: Bacteria; Bacillati; Bacillota; Clostridia.